CCCCAGGUUCCCGGCAGGGCGGGGAAGGCUGGGGCGGGGCCAGAGCCGGAGCCGCGAAGCCGCGAUGGAGAGGGCCUGGAGGGUGCGCCAGGAGCCGGCGUCAGGGCCUGCCUCCAUCUCCUCCAACCCCCACCCCAUUUAUUCCUGUAACAAAUCCCUACCGGGAGCUGGCACAGCAGCUGUGCGCUGGGGACACACGAGAUGCUCACCCUCCCUGCCCUCCAGGAGCUUGGACUCAGCUGAGGUCUGCAGGGGCCAGCAGGAGCAGGGCCGAGGGCCCUGGUGGGAAGGUCGUGGCCCACUAGGGAAGGCUGGGCCCGGGGGGUCAGGUGGAGGGCAGGCUGAGCUGCGAGCUGUGUCUUCAGCCUACAGCAAGGCCACCACUCCCAGCGCCUGGCCUCCUCGCUCCCGAAAGCUCAGCUCAGCCUACAUGUGCCGACCCCUCUGUCCCCCAGGCCCAGGUUGGGCACUGGUCAGGACGGUGCUCCCAGAGGGACCCAGUAACAGGAGGAGCUAGGGUGAGAGCAUGAGGGUGGGGGGAGCGGCAGAGAGGAGGGAGAGGCAGGAGGUGCUCAGGGCAGGAGUGUCUGGAGUGAGGAGGGAGAGGCAGGAGGUGCUCAGGGCAGGAGUGUCUCGAGUGGGUCUGGACAGGAACAGGAAGGGCAUUCCAGGCAGAGGGGCCCAAAGAAGCAAAGGUGCACCAGGGAGAAAUGCCCGCUGUGCUCCACCACAGUGGAGGUGCAAACCUCAGCAUGGAAGAUGAGGCUGGAGGGAGGGGCCUGGGCUGGAACAUGGCCAGGAUGGCAGUGGGGAGCCAUUGGAGAUGUUUGAGCCGGGGAGUGACAGGGUCAGAUUCGAGUUUUGGAAAGAUAACAUCUUGAGCCAUUAAACAGAUUUCUAGGAUUUCAGGUUUAUUUAUUUAUUUAUUUAGAGACUCACUUCACUCUGUUACCCAGGCUGUAGUGCAGUGGUGCGAUCUCUGCUCACUGCAAUCACUCAAGGCCAAGUGAUUCUCAUGCCUCAGCCUCCUGAGUAGCUGGGACUACAGGCGUGCACCACCAUGCCCAGCUAAUUUUUGUAUUUUUAGUAGAGGCGGGGUUUCGCCAUGUUGGCCAGGCUGGUCUCGAAUUCCUGGCUGGGAUUACAGGCGUGAGCCACCACGCCCUGCUGGAUUUUGGAUUCUUGAUACGUAUCAUCAACCACUCUCCAGAGUUUGGCCAGCUUCACGCUCCAUCAGUGGUCUCACCAUAGACCUUCUAAUCUUGAUUGUGUUGGCUGGUGUCUAUUUUCUAAUGGUGUUUGGUUUUGGAACCUGCAUUUCUUUGAAAAAGAGUGAGCAUGUGCAUUUUCCCAGAUGCCUGGUAUCCAACUGCACUUCUCCAUGUGUGCAUUGUCCCCUGAGCUGGCAAGAAGAUCCUACUAGUUGGUCUGCAUGCCAUGCCAGCUCGGCCUUGCACCCUGGGGGCCCAGCUGUUGUCCACACCAAGGGUGGCCUACAGAGGGAAGUGAGGACCUUGGGACUUCCUCCAGGACAGCCCUCGCUGUCCAAAUCUCCACCUGCUGCAGAGCUGCCUCCAGUCAAGCCCUUGUUUCCAGCUUUCUGUGCCCUAAAUAAACUUCUGCUGGGAUUGAGCCAUCAGCAUUCUGUGGUGGGCGUCGCUGCUGCGAGGUUGCCCUCGUGCACACAAGCUCCUCACAGGACUUCCAGGAUGAUAUGGAAGAGUGACUGAGAGCAGCCGCCCGGUGCUUCCCAACCUUAGAGGGAGGUCACGGGCAGUCUCCCUGCGAUGCUGGCCACAGGGUCUCGCUGUGUCGCCCAGGCUGGAGGGCAGUGGUGUGAUCUGGACUCACUGCAGCCUCGACCUGUUGGGCUCAAGUGAUCCUCUCACGUCAGCCUCCAAGUAGCCAAGACCACAGGCAGGCGUCACCAUGCCCAGCCCCCAUGAUGACUUUACUUUUCUUCUUGAACCUGCUGUCUAUGAGCUUCAUCAAAUGGGCAGGACCACUUUCCCUUAACUUCUCCUUUUCUGGAACAACGGACAUAUCCUGUGGAUUAUCUGUUCCCCACAGGUUUGGGAUAUGGGUGCUGUGAAUGCCACUGUGCUGGGGGCUUUGGGAAGUGUGUGUUUGUUUUCGUGCGUGUGCGGUGGGAUACAGGUGUGGUUACUACUUUGAUUUCUUUCUUUCUUUUUUUUUUUUUUUUUUUUGAGAUGGAGUCUCACUCUGUUGCCCAGGCUGAAGUGCAAUGGCGCGAUCAUGACUCACUGCAACCUCCGCCUCCUGGGUUCAAGCGACUCUCCUGCCUCAGCCUCCAGAGUUGCUGGGAUUACAGGCACCCACAACCAUACCCUAAAUUUUGUACUUUUAGUAAAGAUGGGGUUUCACCAUUUGGCCAGGCUUGUCUUGAACUCCCAAUUACCAAUUUCUUAUGUGUCCUUUUGAAGACUUUCUAAGUACGACCAACCUAGUAAAGUGAGUCACCCACCACUGUUUUGUUUGUUUUUGUUUGUUUGUUUGUUUUUUAGAAUGGGGUUUCACCUUGUUGCCCAGGCUAGUCUUGAACUCUUGGGCUCCAGCAAUCUACCCUCCUCAGCUUCCCAAAGUGCUGGGAUUAUAGGCAUGAGCCACCAUGCCUGGCCCCACCACUCAUUCUUAACCUCUUCUUCUUUGCCUUUCUCUGUUGCAGAGUCCUGGAAGUUAAAUGCUCUAUUUCCCAGCCUCCCUUGCAGCUAGGAGCAGUCAUGUGACUCCAUUCUGGCCAACGAGAUACAAGAAACACUUGCUGACAGGUGCAAUCAGAAAGCGUUUGCUUUUCCAGUAACAUGUAGGACCAGUCACCUUUUUGCAUUUCCCCUUUCUUCUUGAUUCGAACAUUGCAUUGCCGUCAUGUUUGGAGAUGAGUCAGCCAUCUUGCAAAUAGGAGGCAGCAAGACUGAGGGAAAUGCCAUCCUGCUUCAGAGGGCAGAAUGGAAAGAGAAGCCUAAGAUGGCAAUGGUACGGUUGGGCAGCUGAGUCAGGACUGGGGCCACUGCCUCUCGGUUUCAAGGGAGAAAAAUAAAC
Molecule: long non-coding RNA, 3060 nt
Organism: Homo sapiens (human)
Lineage: Eukaryota; Metazoa; Chordata; Mammalia; Primates; Hominidae
Product: long intergenic non-protein coding RNA 2298
Source: Ensembl